This 498-nucleotide ribosomal RNA is filed under the name uncultured bacterium. RNAcentral describes it as "partial 16S ribosomal RNA". It matches the Rfam family "Bacterial small subunit ribosomal RNA", at positions 28 to 507 of the family's 1533-position model. The record is from RNAcentral.
GAUGAACGCUGGCGGCGUGCCUAAUACAUGCAAGUCGAGCGAACAGACGAGGAGCUUGCUCCUCUGACGUUAGCGGCGGACGGGUGAGUAACACGUGGAUAACCUACCUAUAAGACUGGGAUAACUUCGGGAAACCGGAGCUAAUACCGGAUAAUAUAUUGAACCGCAUGGUUCAAUAGUGAAAGACGGUUUUGCUGUCACUUAUAGAUGGAUCCGCGCUGCAUUAGCUAGUUGGUAAGGUAACGGCUUACCAAGGCAACGAUGCGUAGCCGACCUGAGAGGGUGAUCGGCCACACUGGAACUGAGACACGGUCCAGACUCCUACGGGAGGCAGCAGUAGGGAAUCUUCCGCAAUGGGGCGAAAGCCUGACGGAGCAACGCCGCGUGAGUGAUGAAGGUCUUCGGAUCGUAAAACUCUGUUAUUAGGGAAGAACAAAUGUGUAAGUAACUAUGCACGUCUUGACGGUACCUAAUCAGAAAGCCACGGCUAACUACGUG